This is a non-coding RNA of Candidatus Aminicenantes bacterium RBG_16_66_30, 71 nucleotides long. The record is from Rfam. NCBI's taxonomy places the organism in Bacteria, Candidatus Aminicenantota.
UGGGGCGUAGCCAAGCGGAAAGGCAACGGACUUUGGCUCCGUCAUCGGAGGUUCGAAUCCUCCCGCCCCAG